UACAUAGGGGGCUAGCGUUGUCCGGAAUCAUUGGGCGUAAAGAGCGUGUAGGCGGCCCGGUAAGUCCGCUGUAAAAGUCAAAGGCUCAACCUUUGAAUGUCAGUGGAUACUGCCGGGCUAGAGUCCGGAAGAGGCGAGUGGAACUCCUGGUGUAGCGGUGGAAUGCGCAGAUAUCAGGAGGAACACCGGUGGCGAAGGCGGGUCUCUGGGCCGAUACUGACGCUGAGGAGCGAAAGCGUGGGGAGCGAACAGG
RNAcentral lists this ribosomal RNA (253 nucleotides) under uncultured bacterium. Its description in RNAcentral is "partial 16S ribosomal RNA". It matches the Rfam family "Bacterial small subunit ribosomal RNA", at positions 524 to 776 of the family's 1533-position model. The record is from RNAcentral.